RNAcentral lists this ribosomal RNA (253 nucleotides) under uncultured prokaryote. Its description in RNAcentral is "partial 16S ribosomal RNA". It matches the Rfam family "Bacterial small subunit ribosomal RNA", at positions 524 to 776 of the family's 1533-position model. The record is from RNAcentral.
UACGAAGGGGGCUAGCGUUGCUCGGAAUGACUGGGCGUAAAGGGCGCGUAGGCGGUUCAGCAAGUUAGAUGUGAAAUUCCUGGGCUUAACCUGGGGGCUGCAUUUGAUACUGCUGGGCUUGAGUAUGGAAGAGGGUCGUGGAAUUCCCAGUGUAGAGGUGAAAUUCGUAGAUAUUGGGAAGAACACCGGUGGCGAAGGCGGCGACCUGGUCCAUAACUGACGCUGAGGCGCGAAAGCGUGGGGAGCAAACAGG